This 373-nucleotide RNase P RNA is filed under the name Desulfosporosinus sp. Sb-LF. RNAcentral describes it as "Bacterial RNase P class A". It matches the Rfam family "Bacterial RNase P class A". From Rfam's summary of the family: Ribonuclease P (RNase P) is a ubiquitous endoribonuclease, found in archaea, bacteria and eukarya as well as chloroplasts and mitochondria. The record is from Rfam by way of RNAcentral. Lineage: Bacteria; Bacillati; Bacillota; Clostridia; Eubacteriales; Desulfitobacteriaceae.
GAAGCCAACUAGAUGAUCGCGGGGGUAAGGACCGAAAGGUCGCCUCUGAGGAAAGUCCGAGCUCCAUAGGGCAAGGUGCUGGGUAACGCCCAGUGGGGGAAACCCCAAGGAAAGUGCAACAGAGAGAUACCGCCUAAUACUCCGCUUGAGUGUUAGGUAAGGGUGGAAAGGCGAGGUAAGAGCUCACCGGCAGUCAGGUGACUGACUGGCCAUGUAAACCCCACCUGGAGCAAGACUGAAUAGGGGAACUUUGAACGGCCCGUUUUUGUUCCCGGGUAAGGUCGCUAGAGGCCGUCGGUAACGGCGGUUCGAGAUAGAUGAUCAUCACCUCCAUACGGAGGAACAGAACUCGGCUUAUAGGUUGACUUCGCAU